This 57-nucleotide transfer RNA is filed under the name Marmota monax (woodchuck). It matches the Rfam family "tRNA", at positions 8 to 63 of the family's 71-position model. Rfam says of the family: Transfer RNA (tRNA) molecules are approximately 80 nucleotides in length. Their secondary structure includes four short double-helical elements and three loops (D, anti-codon, and T loops). The record is from Rfam by way of RNAcentral. Lineage: Eukaryota; Metazoa; Chordata; Mammalia; Rodentia; Sciuridae. RNAcentral also lists the same sequence under 2 other names.
UAGCUCAGUGGUAGAGUGCUUGCCUAGCAUGCAUGUAGCCCUGGGUUCCAUCCCUAG